RNAcentral lists this ribosomal RNA (253 nucleotides) under uncultured bacterium. RNAcentral describes it as "partial 16S ribosomal RNA". It matches the Rfam family "Bacterial small subunit ribosomal RNA", at positions 524 to 776 of the family's 1533-position model. The record is from RNAcentral.
UACAGAGGGUGCAAGCGUUAAUCGGAAUGACUGGGCGUAAAGCGUGUGUAGGUGGUUAGAUAAGUUAGAUGUGAAAUCCCCGGGCUUAACCUGGGAACUGCGUUUAAGACUGUUUAACUAGAGUACUGUAGAGGAUAGUGGAAUUUCCAGUGUAGCGGUGAAAUGCGUAGAUAUUGGAAGGAACACCAGUGGCGAAGGCGACUAUCUGGACAGAUACUGACACUGAGACACGAAAGCGUGGGGAGCAAACAGG